GCGGGCGUGGUGUAACGGUUGCACAAGAGCCUUCCAAGCUCUCGGAGACGGGUUCGAUUCCCGCCGCCCGCU
RNAcentral lists this transfer RNA (72 nucleotides) under Thermoleophilaceae bacterium. Its description in RNAcentral is "tRNA-Gly". It matches the Rfam family "tRNA". From Rfam's summary of the family: Transfer RNA (tRNA) molecules are approximately 80 nucleotides in length. RNAcentral also lists the same sequence under 2 other names. The record is from RNAcentral. Lineage: Bacteria; Bacillati; Actinomycetota; Thermoleophilia; Thermoleophilales; Thermoleophilaceae.